AGUGUGUGGACCUCUUGGUGGGGCCGGGGGCUGCCCAGGCAGCCAUUAAGGAAGACCCCUGGAACUGCUACAUGUGUGGGCACAAGGGUACCUACGGGCUGCUGCGGCGGCGAGAGGACUGGCCCUCCCGGCUCCAGAUGUUCUUCGCUAAUAACCACGACCAGGAAUUUGACCCUCCAAAGGUUUACCCACCUGUCCCAGCUGAGAAGAGGAAGCCCAUCCGGGUGCUGUCUCUCUUUGAUGGAAUUGCUACAGGGCUCCUGGUGCUGAAGGACUUGGGCAUUCAGGUGGACCGCUACAUUGCCUCGGAGGUGUGUGAGGACUCCAUCACGGUGGGCAUGGUGCGGCACCAGGGGAAGAUCAUGUACGUCGGGGACGUCCGCAGCGUCACACAGAAGCAUAUCCAGGAGUGGGGCCCAUUCGAUCUGGUGAUUGGGGGCAGUCCCUGCAAUGACCUCUCCAUCGUCAACCCUGCUCGCAAGGGCCUCUACGAGGGCACUGGCCGGCUCUUCUUUGAGUUCUACCGCCUCCUGCAUGAUGCGCGGCCCAAGGAGGGAGAUGAUCGCCCCUUCUUCUGGCUCUUUGAGAAUGUGGUGGCCAUGGGCGUUAGUGACAAGAGGGACAUCUCGCGAUUUCUCGAGUCCAACCCUGUGAUGAUUGAUGCCAAAGAAGUGUCAGCUGCACACAGGGCCCGCUACUUCUGGGGUAACCUUCCCGGUAUGAACAGUUCAGCAAAGUGAGGACCAUUACUACGAGGUCAAACUCCAUAAAGCAGGGCAAAGACCAGCAUUUUCCUGUCUUCAUGAAUGAGAAAGAGGACAUCUUAUGGUGCACUGAAAUGGAAAGG
This 847-nucleotide small RNA is filed under the name Pongo abelii (Sumatran orangutan). RNAcentral describes it as "processed transcript". The record is from RNAcentral. Lineage: Eukaryota; Metazoa; Chordata; Mammalia; Primates; Hominidae.